CCUCACUCACCUGUCACCCACCCAGAUCCCUCCCUCCCGUCCAGGUCAAUCUGGCCCAUAGCAGGUGACUACUGUGCCCUUCUCAGGUGCCAAGAUUGGAGUCGGGGAGACGCCCAAGACACAUCGACACGUUAGGGCAGGUGCGGGUGUCUGCUGUGAAGGAGGCGGCAGAGACAAGGACCCAGAGGGAUGGAAGAAGGCGUUUCUGCUCAGGCACUAGUAUCAACUGAUAUCCCUAUUGAUGUGUUUUCCUUACAAAAUAAUCCAUCCAUUUCUUGAAGAGAAAGCAGCUAUAAUUUGAUUCUUGGGAGUUCCUGUUGUGGCUCAGCAGAAACGAAACCUGAC
Molecule: non-coding RNA, 345 nt
Organism: Sus scrofa (pig)
Lineage: Eukaryota; Metazoa; Chordata; Mammalia; Artiodactyla; Suidae
Source: RefSeq, a predicted model, not a curated record